AUGAACGCUGGCGGCGUGCCUAAUACAUGCACGUCGAGCGAACAGACGAGGAGCUUGCUCCUCUGACGUUAGCGGCGGACGGGUGAGUAACACGUGGAUAACCUACCUAUAAGACUGGGAUAACUUCGGGAAACCGGAGCUAAUACCGGAUAAUAUAUUGAACCGCAUGGUUCAAUAGUGAAAGACGGUUUUGCUGUCACUUAUAGAUGGGUCCGCGCCGCAUUAGCUAGUUGGUAAGGUAACGGCUUACCAAGGCAACGAUGCGUAGCCGACCUGAGAGGGUGAUCGGCCACACUGGAACUGAGACACGGUCCAGACUCCUACGGGAGGCAGCAGUAGGGAAUCUUCCGCAAUGGGCGAAAGCCUGACGGAGCAACGCCGCGUGAGUGAUGAAGGUCUUCGGAUCGUAAAACUCUGUUAUUAGGGAAGAACAAAUGUGUAAGUAACUAUGCACGUCUUGACGGUACCUAAUCAGAAAGCCACGGCUAACUACGUG
RNAcentral lists this ribosomal RNA (496 nucleotides) under uncultured bacterium. RNAcentral's name for it is "partial 16S ribosomal RNA". It matches the Rfam family "Bacterial small subunit ribosomal RNA", at positions 29 to 507 of the family's 1533-position model. The record is from RNAcentral.